GACGAACGCUGGCGGCGUGCUUAACACAUGCAAGUCGAACGGUGAAGCCCCAGCUUGCUGGAGUGGAUCAGUGGCGAACGGGUGAGUAACACGUGAGCAACCUGCCCCUGACUCUGGAAUAAGCGCUGGAAACGGCGUCUAAUACUGGAUACGAGAAGGGUCCGCAUGGGCACUUUCUGGAAAGUUUUUCGGUUGGGGAUGGGCUCGCGGCCUAUCAGCUUGUUGGUGAGGUAAUGGCUCACCAAGGCGACGACGGGUAGCCGGCCUGAGAGGGCGACCGGCCACACUGGGACUGAGACACGGCACAGACUCCUACGGGAGGCAGAAGUGGGGAAUAUUGCACAAUGGGCGAAAGCCUGAUGCAGCGACGCCGCGUGAGGGAUGACGGCCUUCGGGUUGUAAACCUCUUUCAGCAGGGAAGAAGCGAAAGUGACGGUACCUGCAGAAGAAGCACCGGCUAACUACGUG
Molecule: ribosomal RNA, 468 nt
Filed under: uncultured bacterium
Lineage: Bacteria
Description: partial 16S ribosomal RNA
Rfam family: Bacterial small subunit ribosomal RNA
Source: RNAcentral